Pongo abelii (Sumatran orangutan) is the source of this 148-nucleotide unclassified non-coding RNA. It matches the Rfam family "Metazoan signal recognition particle RNA". From Rfam's summary of the family: The signal recognition particle (SRP) is a universally conserved ribonucleoprotein. It is involved in the co-translational targeting of proteins to membranes. The eukaryotic SRP consists of a 300-nucleotide 7S RNA and six proteins: SRPs 72, 68, 54, 19, 14, and 9. Lineage: Eukaryota; Metazoa; Chordata; Mammalia; Primates; Hominidae. The record is from Ensembl.
GCCAGGCAUGGUGGUGUGUGCCUGUAGUCCUAGCUACCAUGGAGGCUGAGUUGGGAGGAUCGCUUGAGCCUGGGAGGUUAAGGCUGCAGUGAGUCAUGAUCGUGCCACUGCACUCCAGCCUGGGCAACAGAGUGAGAUCCUGUCUCAA